UACGUAGGCAGCGAGCGUUGUUCGGAGUUACUGGGCGUAAAGGGUGUGUAGGCGGUUUUCUAAGUUUGGUGUGAAAUCUCCCGGCUCAACCGGGAGGGUGCGCCGAAAACUGGGAGACUAGAGUGCGGGAUGGGAGAGUAGAAUUCCUGGUGUAGCGGUGAAAUGCGUAGAUAUCAGGAGGAAUACCGGUGGUGUAGACGGCUCUCUGGACCGCCACUGACGCUGAGACACGAAAGCUAGGGGAGCAAACAGG
This 253-nucleotide ribosomal RNA is filed under the name uncultured bacterium. RNAcentral describes it as "partial 16S ribosomal RNA". It matches the Rfam family "Bacterial small subunit ribosomal RNA", at positions 524 to 776 of the family's 1533-position model. The record is from RNAcentral.